RNAcentral lists this ribosomal RNA (406 nucleotides) under uncultured bacterium. RNAcentral's name for it is "partial 16S ribosomal RNA". It matches the Rfam family "Bacterial small subunit ribosomal RNA", at positions 30 to 526 of the family's 1533-position model. The record is from RNAcentral.
AUUGAACGCUGGCGGCAGGCUUAACACAUGCAAGUCGAGCGAGCGGCGGACGGGUGAGUAAUGUCUGGGAAACUGCCUGAUGGAGGGGGAUAACUACUGGAAACGGUAGCUAAUACCGCAUACUAUCAGAUGUGCCCAUGUGGGAUUAGCUAGUAGGUGGGUUAAUGGCUCACCUAGGCGACGAUCCCUAGCUGGUCUGAGAGGAUGACCAGCCACACUGGAACUGAGACACGGCCCAGACUCCUACGGGAGGAAGCAGUGGGGAAUAUUGCACAUGGGGCGCAAGCCUGAUGCAGCCAUGCCGCGUGUUGGAAGAAGGCCUUCGGGUUGUAAAGCACUUUCAGCGGGGAGGCGUUACUCGCAGAAGAAGCACCGGCUAACUCCGUGCCAGCAGCCGCGGUAAUUC